RNAcentral lists this ribosomal RNA (253 nucleotides) under uncultured bacterium. RNAcentral's name for it is "partial 16S ribosomal RNA". It matches the Rfam family "Bacterial small subunit ribosomal RNA", at positions 524 to 776 of the family's 1533-position model. The record is from RNAcentral.
GACAGAGGGUGCGAACGUUGCUCGGAAUCAUUGGGCGUAAAGCGCGUGUAGGCGGCAUCGCACGUCGGGUGUGAAAGCCCGGGGCUCAACCCCGGCAGUGCACCCGAAACGACGAUGCUAGAGUGCUGGAGAGGCGGGUGGAAUUCCCGGUGUAGAGGUGAAAUUCGUAGAUAUCAGGAAGAACACCCGUGGCUAAGGCGGCUCUCUAGUACGGUACUGACGCUGAGACGCGAAAGCGUGGGGAGCGAACAGG